GACGUAGGGUGCGAGCGUUGUCCGGAUUUAUUGGGCGUAAAGAGCUCGUAGGCGGCCUGUUGCGUCUGCUGUGAAAGCCCGGGGCUUAACCCCGGGUCUGCAGUGGAUACGGGCAGGCUAGAGUUCGGCAGGGGAGACUGGAAUUCCUGGUGUAGCGGUGAAAUGCGCAGAUAUCAGGAGGAACACCGGUGGCGAAGGCGGGUCUCUGGGCCGAUACUGACGCUGAGGAGCGAAAGCGUGGGGAGCGAACAGG
This 253-nucleotide ribosomal RNA is filed under the name uncultured bacterium. RNAcentral's name for it is "partial 16S ribosomal RNA". It matches the Rfam family "Bacterial small subunit ribosomal RNA", at positions 524 to 776 of the family's 1533-position model. The record is from RNAcentral.